CACGGAGGGUGCAAACGUUGCUCGGAAUUACUGGGCGUAAAGCGCGCGUAGGCGGCUUUGCAAGUCGAGUGUGAAAUCCCCAGGCUCAACCUGGGAACUGCAUUCGAGACUGCAUAGCUAGAGUAUGGGAGAGGGAAGUGGAAUUUCAGGUGUAGCGGUGAAAUGCGUAGAUAUCUGAAGGAACAUCAGUGGCGAAAGCGACUUCCUGGACCGACAUUGACGCUGAACGGCGAAAGCUAGGGGAGCAAACGGG
RNAcentral lists this ribosomal RNA (253 nucleotides) under uncultured bacterium. RNAcentral's name for it is "partial 16S ribosomal RNA". It matches the Rfam family "Bacterial small subunit ribosomal RNA", at positions 524 to 776 of the family's 1533-position model. The record is from RNAcentral.